This 422-nucleotide ribosomal RNA is filed under the name uncultured bacterium. RNAcentral describes it as "bacterial SSU rRNA". It matches the Rfam family "Bacterial small subunit ribosomal RNA", at positions 355 to 774 of the family's 1533-position model. The record is from RNAcentral.
UAAGGAAUAUUGGACAAUGGAGGCAACUCUGAUCCAGCCAUGCCGCGUGAAGGAAUAAGGCCCUAUGGGUUGUAAACUUCUUUUAGACGGGACAAAACCCCUUUACGUGUAAAGGGUUGAUGGUACUGUCAGAAUAAGCAUCGGCUAACUUCGUGCCAGCAGCCGCGGUAAUACGAAGGAUGCAAGCGUUAUCCGGAAUUAUUGGGUUUAAAGGGUGCGUAGGCGGACUAAUAAGUCAGUGGUGAAAGCCUGCAGCUUAACUGCAGAAUUGCCAUUGAUACUGUUAGUCUUGAGUACAGUUGAGGUAGGCGGAAUGUGUCCUGUAGCGGUGAAAUGCUUAGAUAUGACACAGAACACCGAUUGCGAAGGCAGCUUGCUAAGCUGUAACUGACGCUGAGGCACGAAAGCGUGGGGAGCAAACA